This is a long non-coding RNA of Carassius auratus (goldfish), 1732 nucleotides long. RefSeq lists it as uncharacterized. Lineage: Eukaryota; Metazoa; Chordata; Actinopteri; Cypriniformes; Cyprinidae. The record is from RefSeq and is a predicted model, not a curated record. The transcript has 4 exons.
UGGACUUAUGCAGGCUUUAUUCGCCAUUAACUAUGACUUUACCUAAUUUGCUGCUUAUUAAUAGUUAUUAAGGUAGUUGUUAAGUUUAGGUAUUGGGUAGGAAUGUAGAAUAAGGUCAUCUAGAAUAAAACAUUAAUAUGUGCUUUAUUAGUAUUAACAAAUGUUAAUAAGCAACCAGUUAAGAGACCCUAAAUUAAAGUGUCACUGUAUGUUUUUGCGAGUCUUGAAUUAAAACAGGAAGAAGGAACAUGUUUGUUCUGAAUUUUUUUAUAUAUUCCAAUUGUUUAAUUUUAUAGUUCAGUUGCAUUUAACUAAAGUUUUUUGUUCAACCAGAUGGUACAGAGCAACCUUUUGAGGUUCUUUUUGUGUCUUCUUUGGUUGUAGGCUAGAGGAAAAAGGAAGCAGAGAAAGAAGGAAUGAAACAGGUUAAGUUUUAUAUUGUGCCUUCUGUAAGUGCCAAAGCAGCCUCAGUUUUGAAAAGACCAGCACAAGCCAUAUUCCUUCAUAAACAAUGCAAUGUGUUCUGGGGUGAAGCAGAAAAGUGCUAAAUCCUCUCAAAGAGGGGAUAAAUCUUUCAUGAAUGAGACACACUUCCCCUUCUUAAAAGGGCAGAGUGGAACACACUCACACACAAACGCACACACACACAUCUGUGCAUACUCGACACUUAUAAAUAAGAAGCAGCCUCACUGCCACGCUCAGACAACAAAAUGCAAAGCUGUUUGGAUUUCUCCCACUAACGAUGUGAAUUAUAAAUGAGACUCUGUAAUUUGGAGGAAGUUGUGAGCUGGUGAUUGCUUAUCAAGCCUCAGUUUCUGCUGAACUCUGAGCAAAAAUAAAAGACAGGUUUGGAGGAAGGAGUCAGUUUGAUCUUUUAUAUAUUCCGUGUAACAUACACUCACAGGCCACUUAAGUACCAGGUUAAACCUGCUUAAGUUCACAUUAAGUCUUUGUGGCAUAGAUUCAACAAUGUACUGGACACAAUUUUGAGGGGAUUUUGGUCCAUUAACAUGAUAGCAUCACGCAGUUGCUGCAGAUUUGUCGGCUGCAUAUCCAUGAUGAGAAUCUCCCGUUCCACCGCAUUCCAAAGCUGCUCUAUUGGAUUGAGAUCUGGUGACUCAUUUACAUUUUUGAGAUGAUUUGAGCUUUGUGGCAUGGGACAUUAUCCUGCUAGAGGUCAGAAGACAUCACAAGAUCGCACACUGUGGUCAUAAUGCGAUGGACAUGGUCAGCAAUAAUACUCAUGUGGACUGUGGUGUUUAAACAAUGCUCAAUUGGUACUAAGGGGCCCAAGUGUGCCAAGAAAUGAUCCCUGACAUCAUUCCACGACCAGCAGCCUGAUCCGCUGAUACAAAACUGGACGUAUCCAUGUUUUCUUGUUGUUUACUCCAAAUUCUGACCCGACUCAUCAGACCAGCUGACAGGAUUGGCACCCCACGCUAUAACCUCUCUGCUUCAAGGCAUACUCUACAUGACUGCUUAGAUUCAGGAGGAGAGGGAGUCUGUACAGCUGCAGAAACGAUGUGUGAGAGGUGGAGCAGAAGGACCUGCUCACAUGCAAUCAUAGUGGCUGCUGAUGGAUGCAAAGUGGCAUCUGAAGCACUGGCUGCAGAGAGCCGCCCAAACCAGAGAGCAGACGGCAGUACAAGGCACUGAGCCUCGGUGGAGAGAAGCAGCUGACUGCAUGCAAUUGCAUUAUUAAUAAUAUCAUAAUCUAAAUAAUAAAGCUUUG